UACGGAGGAUGCAAGCGUUAUCCGGAAUUACUGGGCGUAAAGGGUGCGCAGGCGGUUGGGUGUGUCAGAUGUGAAAUCCCGAGGCUCAACCUCGGAACUGCGUCUGAAACUACUCGACUAGAGUACUGGAGAGGGUAACGGAAUUCACGGUGUAGCAGUGAAAUGCGUAGAUAUCGUGAGGAACACCAGAGGCGAAGGCGGUUACCUGGACAGUUACUGACGCUCAGGCACGAAAGCAUGGGGAGCAAAAGGG
This 253-nucleotide ribosomal RNA is filed under the name uncultured bacterium. RNAcentral describes it as "partial 16S ribosomal RNA". It matches the Rfam family "Bacterial small subunit ribosomal RNA", at positions 524 to 776 of the family's 1533-position model. The record is from RNAcentral.